GUGGAUCAUCUUCUGCAUUGGGAUUGCAACCUUGGUUGAAAGGUGGUUGCACAGGUUCGUUCAAAGUUUGGAUCAACGGUCCAUUUCUCUCCAUCCCACAAUACCAAGGAGUUCUUCUUGGUUGCAUCCUUCUCCACAGCCUCAUUUCCCCUCUCGGAGGAAUCUUUUGCUCUUGCUCUAGUUUGUUGCAUUGGUGGCACAUCUUCAGGCUUUAAGGUGAAACAAAUUGUGAAAAGAUCAUUUUGGUUUUCAGUGGCAUCCAACCGUGUUGGCCAUUUUAUUUAUGGUCUUAAAGAUCGUGUUUGGCCUAAUUUUGUAUGCCAUUUCCACCUUUUCAAACCUCAUGUGGAUUAUUCCAACUAUGCUGCUGUUGGGUGGAUUGUUGAUGAAGUGCUUGAGGAAAUUCAAGCUCGCACUCCUAUGGCUAUCAAGACUAAUCUUAAUUUCCUUAAGAGAACCGACAAGCUUCAUUGUUCAUCCAAGGAAGAAGUUAAAAAGUUUGGAUUUCAUUUGGUUGAUCGGAAUAAAUCUACAAACAACACCUCCAAAGCUCUUUCUGUGAAGAUUUUGGUAGCAAUCCCAACGAACAUUCAAAGCCGACAACAUUAA
This 609-nucleotide ribosomal RNA is filed under the name Triticum aestivum (bread wheat). Its description in RNAcentral is "partial small subunit ribosomal RNA". Lineage: Eukaryota; Viridiplantae; Streptophyta; Magnoliopsida; Poales; Poaceae. The record is from RNAcentral.